AUGGAAUCAGUGAAAGCGAGGUUGAGAGGUUCUGCGAAAAGUUGCAUAACAGUUUCUGAGUUGGUUAGGAUCUGUUCUGAGUAUUGCUCGGAUUAUGAUCAAGCGGUUAAGGUUGCAAAGAUGUUUGAUGAUUCUGCGGCUGUGAUUAUGCUAGAUGAUGCGGUUUUUCUCUUUAACCGGAGCAGGUUGCCUAUCCAUGUGUGGCUAAGCGACUGCGAACGACUCAUACAGGGUUUUCAAGACUGGUAUGUACGUGAGAAUUUGAGUUGCAAAUGA
This is a non-coding RNA of Vicia faba (fava bean), 276 nucleotides long. The record is from the annotation of a GenBank genome assembly. NCBI's taxonomy places the organism in Eukaryota, Viridiplantae, Streptophyta, Magnoliopsida, Fabales, Fabaceae.